RNAcentral lists this ribosomal RNA (253 nucleotides) under uncultured bacterium. RNAcentral's name for it is "partial 16S ribosomal RNA". It matches the Rfam family "Bacterial small subunit ribosomal RNA", at positions 524 to 776 of the family's 1533-position model. The record is from RNAcentral.
GACGAACCGUGCGAACGUUGUUCGGAAUCACUGGGCUUAAAGGGCGCGUAGGCGGGGUGGACAGUAUAUGGUGAAAUCCUCCGCCUCAACCGGAGAACUGCCGUGGAUACUGCCACUCUCGAGGGGUGUAGGGGCAUGCGGAACUUCCGGUGGAGCGGUGAAAUGCGUAGAUAUCGGAAGGAACGCCGGUGGCGAAAGCGGCGUGCUGGACACCUUCUGACGCUGAGGCGCGAAAGCCAGGGGAGCAAACGGG